GAUGAACGCUGGCGGCGUGCCUAAUACAUGCCAGUCGAGCGAACGGACGAGAAGCUUUCUUUUCUGAUGUUAGCGGCGGACGGGUGAGUAACACGUGGAUAACCUACCUAUAAGACUGGGAUAACUUCGGGAAACCGGAGCUAAUACCGGAUAAUAUUUUGAACCGCAUGGUUCAAAAGUGAAAGACGUUCUUGCUGUCACUUAUAGAUGGAUCCGCGCUGCAUUAGCUAGUUGGUAAGGUAACGGCUUACCAAGGCAACGAUGCAUAGCCGACCUGAGAGGGUGAUCGGCCACACUGGAACUGAGACACGGUCCAGACUCCUACGGGAGGCAGCAGUAGGGAAUAUUCCGCAAUGGGCGAAAGCCUGACGGAGCAACGCCGCGUGAGUGAUGAAGGUCUUCGGAUCGUAAAACUCUGUUAUUAGGGAAGAACAUAUGUGUAAGUAACUGUGCACAUCUUGACGGUACCUAAUCAGAAAGCCACGGCUAACUACGUG
This 497-nucleotide ribosomal RNA is filed under the name uncultured bacterium. RNAcentral describes it as "partial 16S ribosomal RNA". It matches the Rfam family "Bacterial small subunit ribosomal RNA", at positions 28 to 507 of the family's 1533-position model. The record is from RNAcentral.